AUUGAACGCUGGCGACAUGCCUUACACAUGCAAGUCGAACGGCAGCACGGGUGCUUGCACCUGGUGGCGAGUGGCGAACGGGUGAGUAAUACAUCGGAACAUGUCCUGUAGUGGGGGAUAGCCCGGCGAAAGCCGGAUUAAUACCGCAUACGAUCUACGGAUGAAAGCGGGGGACCUUCGGGCCUCGCGCUAUAGGGUUGGCCGAUGGCUGAUUAGCUAGUUGGUGGGGUAAAGGCCUACCAAGGCGACGAUCAGUAGCUGGUCUGAGAGGACGACCAGUCACACUGGGACUGGGACACGGCCCAGACUCCUACGGGAGGCAGCAGUGGGGAAUUUUGGACAAUGGGCGAAAGCCUGAUCCAGCAAUGCCGCGUGUGUGAAGAAGGCCUUCGGGCUGUAAAGCACUUUUGUCCGGAAAGAAAUCCUUGGCCCUAAUACGGUCGGGGGAUGACGGUACCGGAAGAAUAAGCACCGGCUAACUACGUG
Molecule: ribosomal RNA, 486 nt
Filed under: uncultured bacterium
Lineage: Bacteria
Description: partial 16S ribosomal RNA
Rfam family: Bacterial small subunit ribosomal RNA
Source: RNAcentral